AAGACAAAUAUUUGGCUCAUUUCAUUUCCAAUCAUCCUGUGUUUAUUGACUCUUGUCCUCAAAAGAUUGUCGGACCAGAUAUGGGAUGAACCCGCUGAGUGUGGCUGUAGUAAAGAGGCAGGGUGUUACUAUGAAUUUGCUUUCAAUGGAGGUAUCCGUUGUGCGUUUCCUAACCCUCCAGAAUGGCCUCCAUUGUUUCAAAUACCUGCUCCUGAAUAUCGCGCUGUGAGAAGUGAGGUUGUUCCUUUUACAGAUUUGCCAGAUGAGUCAUGCAGGACCCAAGAGUCCUGCCCUGCAGCUCUACUUGUCACAGGAAAUAAUCAAACACUUGGCUCAAUUUUGGCUGGGAAUAGAUCCCCAGGGCUUUCAGUCGAAAGUCUUUAGCAGAUGAUGCUUUUGGCUCAGAAUUUUCACCAGGCUAUUCCAAUUUUGAAGAUCCUGCUUUUACUUUGGAUCCCUUCAUCUAUUGCGACUAGGUGUAGAUUCUUUCUUUGACUUGCAAUAACGGUCAUAAAGCUGGAAACUGUCCCGCCAAAAUUGAAGCUUUGGAGCAGUUAAACUGACAUCCGUUUAUCAAUUCCCUUCUUGGUUGACAGUUGAUUGAUAAAGGCACUUCACCAGAACAGCUUACAUGGAUCCAUUCCUAAUGAAAUUACCAAUUGUCCUGAGCUUAGGGCUCUGUAAAUGGAAACGUUUCCUUCUCAUUUCUAUAUCUCCUUUGAGUUCCCAUCUACUUAUGUUAUAUGUCACUAGAAUUGAGCAUUACAUUCCCCUUUUCUUCUACCU
Molecule: long non-coding RNA, 786 nt
Organism: Prunus persica (peach)
Lineage: Eukaryota; Viridiplantae; Streptophyta; Magnoliopsida; Rosales; Rosaceae
Exons: 4
Source: RefSeq, a predicted model, not a curated record